AUGGAUCCCCGAGGUGGCAUAACACAAAUCGAGCUGGAGUACAUGGUACACGAUGAAGAUGCAGAGCCCAUUGCCCUGCCACUGCCACUUUUGGAGAAAAUCACAAAUUAUUUUUCUCACGAGUUGAUAAUUGGAAGAGGUGGCUUCGCGGUGGUUUAUAAGGUAUCUCGGGUGCUGCUGCUGCUGCAGGCAGUGCUUGAUAAUGGCAUUGUCACUGUGAAGAGGCUGUUCGAUACGCACAUGCAUGAGGAACAAUUCCAGGGUGAGGUGGAAUGUCUCAUGAAGGUGAAGCACAAAAACAUUGUACGAUUUCUUGGAUAUUGCGCCGACACGCAAGGGAACAUUUCAGACUACAAAGGGAAAAUGGUUAUGGCAGAUGUGCAGCAGCGGUUGCUCUGCUUUGAAUAUCUACCUAAAGGAAGUCUUGAUGGUUAUAUAACAGAUUCACCCGGAGAACUUAACUGGAGAAAGCGAUACGAUAUAAUAAAGGGUAUCUGUGAAGGGUUAAAUUAUCCUCACCAGAACAAUAUUCUGCACUUGGAUCUAACACCCGGAAAUAUAUUAUUGGAUGAGGAUAUGAUGCCGAAAAUUACUGAUUUCGGAUUGUCAAGGUGUUUUGAGGAAGACCAAACAGGGGUCAUUACUAAAAAUGUGGCCGGAACAAGGGGAUAUUUGGCGCCGGAAUGCUAUAACAAGGAAAUCGUACUCGCGCACAAGUUUGACUUAUAUAGUCUUGGUGUUAUAAUGAUAGAGAUACUGACCGGAAAGAAGGGGUGUCAAGUUACUAUUGAGAAUGUACUUCAAAUUUGGAAUAAUACGGUGUUGGAUGCACUGCAGUGGGGUCAAAUACGAGUAUGUGCGAAGAUUGGGAUGGAGUGCACAGAAGUCGAUCCGGCAAAGAGACCAGCUAGUAUGAAGCACAUAAUGGAUUGGCUUGCUGAAAUAGAAUGUAGUACGCAUGUAAUCCCAGCAGGUGGGACAAGAGAGCUUCUUCUCGUUCACCCGUCCGCGCUUUGCUUCCCCUUUGAGCCCAACAAGGCUAUCACAUGCCCGCUGCAGCUAACAAAUAACACCGAUAAGCAUGUUGCAUUUAGGCUUAUGGAUAAUAGCAUGGAGUCUUCCUUCCUAAGGCUGCCAUUGUAUGACGUUAUGCCACCUAACACACCUUACACUCUCAUUGUGACAACACAAGAGAAAGAAGAUCUACCACGAAAGUAUAUCAUAGAUGUGAUCCUCCAAAGUGCUACAUUAAUAUUGGGGGAUGAUGAUCAUAUAAACACUUUCCGAAGCCAGCCAGACAAGUUUUUUCAAGAGACGGGGAAUGAUAUACAGGUGGUGAAACGGAAAGCACUUUAUACCUUGACACACAUCGCAACGUCAUUCUCUAAGCCAAUUUUGUCCACAGUCAAGGUACACGUCUACAUAGAAAUGCAUCUCAGUUGCUUGGACACAAACCGAGCCAAGCAGUGGAUAAUAAUAGGAGAUGAAAAUGGACACGUUGGCUUUUGGGACUAUCCGACACAGAAAAAAGUGGAUGCGCUUAAAGUCUCAGCGAGUCGUGUUACGUGCAUUAGAUUCAUUGAACGGAAGCAAUGGAUUGUUGCUGGGACAGAAGAUGGGUAUCUCCAUGUGUACAGCUAUGAAACAAGAAUUCAGAAGAUCACGAGUUUAAGAGUUGGUGCCAUUGAGAAUCUGGAGUCACGGGCUGCUCAUACCCAUCUGGCCAUCCAUCCAACCCAGCCAUAUUUGUUGUCGGUGUAUGGUUUUAAAGUGAAACUUUGGGACUGGGACGUGGGCUGGGAGUGCAUACAAACAUUUGAGAAUGAAGAGCUUAUGACAAUACUUCGAGUCGCAUUUAACCCAAAUGACACAUUUGCGACUGCUUCGAUGGAUUGCACAGUGGAGGUUUGGAGUCUUGAUUCUCCCGAAUUUAUAUACACUCUAGUAGGGCAUUCGAGCAUAGUGAAUUGCCUGGAUUUCUUCACAUGUGAUGAUCAGGAGUAUUUGGUUACUGGCUCACAUGAUCAGACUGCAAAGAUAUGGGAUCUGCGGAAGAUGAUGUGUAUACAUACACUUGAGGCUUUCGUAUCUCCAGUAAUGUCUCUCUUGUACCAACCCGAUCUUCAGAUUCUAAUUACAGGUUCAAAAGAUGGCGCUAUUUAUUUGUGGAGCACCACAAACUGCGGGAAUUAUUCAUGCCCCCCGACUCUUAAUAGAGUCAUCAAGAUUGGUUGUGUUGGAGCUGUCUACCAUAUCGCAUGUGUGAUGGGAGGGCUUGUGAUUGGAAAAGAAAAUGCAGUGGCAAUUAUGGAUAUCGAUGAUGUGAAUUAUCAGGAGCAACCAACUGAUAAAAGUGAGCAGCAAUUAAGUGCAUGCACGACACACCAUGCCGGAGACAUGUCUAAGGAAAAGGCAGGGUCCAUCAGCAAGCUACUUGAUGUCCACCCGCUGGAACUCCGCUUCCCCUAUUGUCCCAAUGAGCCUAUCCCUUGCUCACUGCACCUAACAAACAACACAGAUGAAAAUGUGGCAUUUAGACUUGUAGACAAGAGUGGCAAGUCCCCAUGGUGCUUCGCAAAGUUGCCGUUGUGCGGCAUUGUACCUCACGGAUCCACUUACACUUUGACUGUGACAAUGAAGGAGGAGAUGAAGCUAAAGGAAGAGACAGACUUUGAUCUCGUUAUUCAGAGCAGUUUAUUGGGAGAUAAGUACAUCGAGGUAUUCAAUGACCAAUCUGAGUCUGAUACAUUUUUCAAAGAAGCCAAACAGUUUGGGAAUAUGGUGCAUGAAGUGACACUGAAAGCUGUUUAUGUGCAGUACGGAGAGAUCACAUCUGAGAAUAUAUCUGUGAAGUACAAUCCUGACUCUUUGUGGUCCCUGGAUGCACAUCCAACAGAACCUUGGAUUUUAACAGGUCAUAAUAGUGGAUAUGCUCGCAUAUGGAACAAUGAGAUGAAGUUCCUGAUUAAUUCGUUUAAAGUCUCAGAUCAGGAUGCAGUAAGCUGCGUCAAAUUUAUUGCAAGAAGGCAACUGAUUGUAGCUAUGACAGAUCGUGCUCACCUCCAUGUGUAUGACUGUUCAUGUGUAACAAAAAUCGAAAAGAUCAGUUUUGAACGUGGUGAUUACGGGACCAGUACACUACUAGCUGUUCAUCCGAUCCUACCAUAUGUGUUGGCAUCAGGUUUAAUGCUUUUAAACUGGGACCUGAGCUGGAAGACCACACGAAUAUUUGAGUCUGAGGCUGUCACAGCAGAGGCAGUUGCGUUCAACACAAGGGACACCAACAGUUUUGCGAGUGGGUCUUAUGAUGGCGAAGUACAGGUUUGGAGGUUCGAUUCCUCCGACCCGGAAUAUUCUUUGCUUGGACAUUUGAAGAAGGUGACAUGCCUUGAUUUUGUUACAUGUGGAGAUCAACAGUAUUUGAUCAGUGGAUCUUAUGACGCCACUGUCAAGAUCUGGGACUUGCAGAAAAGGGAGUGCAUUUGUACGCUGGAAGCUAUGUCGCCAGUUCAUUGUGUCCUUGCCCAUCCAAACCUUCCAGUUAUAAUUACAGGAACAGAACAUGGCAUCAUUCAUCUGUGGAACUCCACUGAUUUCAGGCUAAAGAGAACCAUUAGCUUAGGUGGCGGUGGACCUGUUAUCACUCUCGGAUGUUUGAUGGGUUCACCAAGGGUUGUGAUUGGACAAGAGAACGCAUUUUUUGCCAUGGAUAUCCACGAUGACUGGGGCGGCCAACCCCAGGGGAGAGAUAAUUUCAUUGGUUUGCUUGGUUCCUCUCUGGAGGAAGGGUUGCAUGCCAAGAGACAUAGACAGUGGUGA
This 3819-nucleotide ribosomal RNA is filed under the name Triticum aestivum (bread wheat). Its description in RNAcentral is "partial small subunit ribosomal RNA". Lineage: Eukaryota; Viridiplantae; Streptophyta; Magnoliopsida; Poales; Poaceae. The record is from RNAcentral.